Molecule: long non-coding RNA, 1686 nt
Organism: Cryptomeria japonica (Japanese cedar)
Lineage: Eukaryota; Viridiplantae; Streptophyta; Pinopsida; Cupressales; Cupressaceae
Exons: 4
Source: RefSeq, a predicted model, not a curated record
GUUAAACAAAUGGCUUCUAUUUAUUUAUUGAUAGUUUAGAAAUGGUGAUUGAUUCUACGUAUUUGUAAUGUUCUGGAAAGUCUCAGUUUUGUGUGGGGUGGAGAAAUAUAUUGGGGAUUUGGAGGGAGUUGUGUUCCACAACGAGGUGUCGAUGGUUGGUGUGCAAUAUGCAGGUGGUGGUGGGAAGAGUUCUCUAGUGUUUCGUCUAUGAAAUCAUCUUCAAAUUAAAGAAAAUGUGUGGAAAACUUAUUAUUUGAAGGUCAAUUAUACAAAAAAUUUAGAGCUACCAGAGAUAAAUCCACAAUCCCCACAGCCCCCACUAGAGAACGCUCUCAACUACCAUUGUUGGGCCCAGAGGAUGCUCUUUUGCCUCUCUGCUUCUGGUCUUUUGGACAGACAUUUUAAGAGCUACAGAUGCAAAUAUAGUAAAGGAGGUGCAAGCAGAAUGUGAUGAUCUGCCACUUGCUCUGAAGGUGAUUGGGAGAUCUUCGCAUGGAAGCCCUAGUGGAUUGGAAUGGAGCAAAAACCAAGAUUUGUAAAGGAGAAUAACAUCAAAUUUAUCACAGAUUGAUAAUCUUCGCUAUGUAGAUUGUUGCAGGCCAGUAUUGACUCCUUAGGUGAUGCAGAUAAUGAAUGUUUCUUAGACUUGGUGUUAUUUCUAGAGGACAAGAAAAUUUGUGGUGAUGCACUAUUGGAUAUUUGUGUUCAUGUUCAAAACCUACAAAGGUGUGACGCUUUUGGUAUCUUAUCUGAACUUGCAAGUCGAAACCUGUCAAAUUUAAGUAGCAACCCAAGGUAAUUUGUCUUUCCUUUAAUAUUCGAUCUUUUGUAAUCAUAUUUUUCAACACAAAGCUGACAUGCUUGCAAUAAACAAGGGAAGUACAACAAUCCUAUAUAGAAAUUCCUUGGAGCUAUACUUCUCUCAACAUGAUGCAAUGCCAAAUUUGACCUUGUAAGGUGAGUUGCAUAAUGAUCGUGCAAUCCAUUUGACACUCCAAUUCUCUCCAUUUCCAUUGAUCCUUUGGAGGAAAUUACUGGCAUGAUAUGAAUUUCCCUGAGACAGAGGCUCUGUUAAUCUUUUGUGGGACGAUACUUUCUUGAAUCUUCCCCCAUAUUUGAAAUCCUAGCUUUUUUAUGGCAUUAAAUUGUAGGUGAAAGGUCUAGAUGUCUUAUCUUUACUCGCCCAACCCUAAGAGUGUCCACUUGGAGAUAUUGAUUUCACCCUUUGUUGAAAAAAAGAAUUAUGAAGAAUACAGAACUUGGAGAAAAUAUCUUUGAGCUCAUGUGAAGGAUUUGGAAAGAUAUCCACAUUCAGCACAAGCAAUCUUAUAUCAUUUUAACCUGGAUCGAAGUAGCAAUUUUGAAGAGUUAGCCCUUGCUAUCUCGGAUAUGUCCUCUCCGUCAUGGUCUAUUACCAAUGGCUCGGUACAAAAUGCCAUCAUGAAAGCACUGACACUAUGUGCACAAUAUGUUGGCAGUUUACAGUAGAGAUGUGCUUCCACAAUUUUAACUCUAAGAUCUAGAGUAGAAACUUUCUUGGCGAGCAACCACUUUUUCAAUUUUCUCAUCACAUACAACAAGCUUGAGGGAACUUAGGUCACAAAUAGUUGUAGGUAACCUCUUCAAACGAGAACAUUCUCUCGCAUCAAACUCCCACAAUUUCUUGAGUUGUCCUAUUUCCUCUGG